CUACGGGCUGCUGCAGUGGGGAAUAUUGCACAAUGGGCGCAAGCCUGAUGCAGCCAUGCCGCGUGUAUGAAGAAGGCCUUCGGGUUGUAAAGUACUUUCAGCGGGGAGGAAGGGAGUAAAGUUAAUACCUUUGCUCAUUGACGUUACCCGCAGAAGAAGCACCGGCUAACUCCGUGCCAGCAGCCGCUGGUAAUACGGAGGGUGCAAGCGUAAUCGGAAUUACUGGGCGUAAAGCGCACGCAGGCGGUUUGUUAAGUCAGAUGUGAAAUCCCCGGGCUCAACCUGGGAACUGCAUCUGAUACUGGCAAGCUUGAGUCUCGUAGAGGGGGGUAGAAUUCCAGGUGUAGCGGUGAAAUGCGUAGAGAUCUGGAGGAAUACCGGUGGCGAAGGCGGCCCCCUGGACGAAGACUGACGCUCAGGUGCGAAAGCGUGGGGAGCAAACAGGAUUAGAUACCCCCGUAGUC
This 464-nucleotide ribosomal RNA is filed under the name uncultured bacterium. RNAcentral describes it as "partial 16S ribosomal RNA". It matches the Rfam family "Bacterial small subunit ribosomal RNA", at positions 339 to 795 of the family's 1533-position model. The record is from RNAcentral.